UACGGGGGGUGCAAGCGUUGUUCGGAAUCAUUGGGCGUAAAGAGCGUGUAGGCGGCUAGAUAAGUCAGAUGUGAAAGCCCUGGGCUCAACCCGGGAAGUGCAUUUGAAACUGUCUUGCUAGAGUAAGGGAGAGGGAAGUGGAAUUCCUGGUGUAGAGGUGAAAUUCGUAGAUAUCAGGAGGAACACCGGUGGCGAAGGCGACUUCCUGGCCCUAUACUGACGCUGAGACGCGAGAGCGUGGGGAGCAAACAGG
Molecule: ribosomal RNA, 253 nt
Filed under: uncultured Syntrophus sp.
Lineage: Bacteria; Pseudomonadati; Thermodesulfobacteriota; Syntrophia; Syntrophales; Syntrophaceae
Description: partial 16S ribosomal RNA
Rfam family: Bacterial small subunit ribosomal RNA
Source: RNAcentral